AAAUACGGUUUACACUUAGCGUUUCCCUUCGGGAAUUAUUUUUAUGAGUUUCGAUAAAAGAGUCUGAGAUAAAUAUUUGGUAUAUAAAAUUCAUUUGAGUUUUGGUCACUAAAGAGUGAAGUUAUUUAAUAAAAACAAUAAAGGGUGUUGCGACGUGAAAUAAGCUGUGUUGGUUUGGUGUAGUGUUUUACUACAAGAAAGGGUCUACACGUCACCAUCUCUACUUUGGAGUCGCCCAAGCGCCCAGUUGUUUUACAAGGUGUUUAUUCUAUUUUUAUGAUUUAUUUUGAUUAUUUUGGACUAUUUUGAAUUUAUUUAACGUAUUAAAAAUUAUAAAAUUAUUUAAAUGAC
This 351-nucleotide long non-coding RNA is filed under the name Anthonomus grandis grandis. RNAcentral describes it as "uncharacterized LOC126745562". The record is from RNAcentral. Lineage: Eukaryota; Metazoa; Arthropoda; Insecta; Coleoptera; Curculionidae.